UCGGGAAUCUUGGGCAAUGGGCGAAAGCCUGACCCAGCAACGCCGCGUGCGGGAUGAAGGCCUUCGGGUCGUAAACCUCUGUCGAGAGGGAAGAAAGGUCGCUGUACGAACCAUGCAGUGGCUUGACGGUACCUCCAAAGGAAGCACCGGCUAACUCCGUGCCAGCAGCCGGGGUAAUACCGAGGGUGCGAGCGUUGUUCGGAAUCACUGGGCGUAAAGCGCGUGUAGGCGGCCUGGAAAGUCGGUUGUGAAAUCCCGGGGCCCAACCUCGGAACUGCAACCGAAACUGCCAGGCUCGAGUCCCGGAGAGGGUGGCGGAAUUUCCGGUGUAGAGGUGAAAUUCGUAGAUAUCGGAAGGAACACCAGUGGCGAAGGCGGCCACCUGGACGGUGACUGACGCUGAGACGCGAAAGCGUGGGGAGCAAACAGGAUUAGAUACCCGUGUAGUCC
Molecule: ribosomal RNA, 450 nt
Filed under: uncultured prokaryote
Description: bacterial SSU rRNA
Rfam family: Bacterial small subunit ribosomal RNA
Source: RNAcentral